GGAUGGUUGUUUACUGGUAUCUUAAAUGGAGGACAAACCGAUUGUGUCGUUGAAUGGGUGCCCUGAAUUAUAUGAUACCUUUUCGUUCAAUUACCGAAACUGGAAUAAUAAAGGUGCUCAAUUGGAGGCGAGUGAGUGAGAAAGGUUGAAUUACAUGGUAAAUUGUAAAGAACCUUUGUCUAUUGCUUGAAUCUGUCGGUUGAAUUGGCAGGGAUUACAAUUGAAAUUACCGUCGGCGUGGGAAUGAAGCGAGUAAAUACUACUUAUUCACGUGUCUAGAUUCAGGCGGAUUAAGCGAAUAGAUGAUUUUACUAGCGCUUGGUGUUAGCGCCCCAUUAGUCGUGUACCUGAUUGUUGUUUUUGCUUUUGGAUACCACAAAAACUCAACAAAAUCAAUUCUAGUCUAUUUUAUAAAUGUAAAAAAUCCUUCAAAGAAGCUUUAAUGUUGGUAUGUAUUGUGAGUGAGAGUUGCUAUAGUUGGAAUAACAACAAAAAAAGGUCUGUUACAGCAUAAAACAGAGCUACAUAUCCCCUACAAUCGGUUUGAACAUAUUGCACAAUAGACAAAAUACAAAUGGGUAAAUCUCAGUCCUCAAAUUGGCACAUUUUAAGGUCAAAUUGAAAUUUUUAUCGACUAAAUCAGGAACAAUCCUACUGAACUUCUCUCACUGCAAUGACAGGAGCUGGUUGAACAAGUGCUCCUUGGAGGUCUGAUGCUUACAUUUCUGGUCUUAUUUAAGACUCGAGCAGAUGGUCAGUUGGUCAGAGCUCCUGUUGCUCUCAAGCGUUUGAUGCCAAACUGUAAUUGGUUUAGCCUUAUCAAUCAGCUCAGGGGGAUUUCAUUGGCUUGAGUUGUUAUUUAAAGAUAAAGAAAAACAACUCCCAUGAUCCCGCACUGUUUCACCUUUCUCAUCAAAUAUUUGGUGGCUGUUGUUGUUCAGACCCCUGGGAAGAAAUCAACAUGAUAAUAAUUCAAACGCCUGUCAUACAGUCGGAUAAGACAAGAUAUCAUACUAUUGUGACAUAAUCUUUCCUCGAAUGUAUUUUAACUUCUACAAAAGAGCAUCAGGAUGUUACUGUAUGAGAGUUUCAGAUAAAAUACCAAACUGGGAGCCAAAAAAAAAGACACACCUCAACAUCUUUCAGCACUGUCAUGACUUUUCUUCUUUGUGACAGUAUCAUUAGAGUACUGACAGUUAUGGUAAACCCAAGUCUUUCUUUAGAGUCAGUUUAUUUAUGUUUAAAGGUGGAAUAUAUCUCUAUUUUACGGGCAUAUGAAACUACUCCAAACUCCCUUUUUCCAGUCUGUGCCAUUCUAUAUGUUUCUUCUGUGUGUGCGUGGUCUGCAGGAACAGACUCUUCAUCACAGUUAUGUAAGAGUUGUCCAAAUGAGGGAUUCCCUUUUAUGUUAUCACAGAGUAUUAUAUAUUUUGGGGAGGACUGGCUCCAGACUGACUCAGCUGUAGAUGGCAAAACUCAUUCAUUCAGACUCAGGCAGAUAAAUCCCUCUAAUGAUGGCACUUUGCUUUCACUGGAGUUGUUUGUUACAGGAGUUUUGAAGUACAUUAAAUCACUAUAAAACUUUCCCCUAUCUUCUCAGGUAUCAUUUAAUUCCUAUUUUAUUCAUACAAAAUAAUAGUAAAACUUGUCUUAUCUGAUAUCUUGGCCCUCUGGAUCAUUUCCCACCAUCAAUUUCUUCUCAAUUUGUCUUUUACAGCAGCUCUGAUUUACGGGCCUGUUAGUUUACUUGUCUCUCUAUUGUUCUGUUGUGAGUUUGUGUAAAGGAUUGUGCAUUUUUCUUUUGAGCAGGGUAGUCGCCCAGGGAGAGGCAGCACGCUGUCUGCAGCGAGGAGGGAAGGACAGUGUAUUACUUGAAAAACAAGCAUCUGUUAUCUGAAGCGGUGACAAGCCAGGAUGGGGAGAGGGAGAGGAUGUGCAGAGAGGAGACGGCGGUGACUGUUUGUUAAAUAUCUUCCUUUUUAACAGACAGAGAGGAUGGAUUCUCAGAAAACUUGAGUGUAAACAUAGAGCUGAAAUAGCCUAAAAACUGACGUGUUUAUUUGUUUCUCUUCAGUCCUGAGAACACAUGCCAUCCUAACCUUAGGUGACGAUUGAGAGUCCCAAAUCUGGUUUUAAAUGUUUCUGAAUGUAGACCAAACUCCUCAGUUUAAGCCCAAUAUUUAGCUCUACUGCCACCUAGUGGACAAUGACCUCAACACCCAGCUGUCAUGUUACAAAUCGGUUCAGAUCAUGUAUUUUAGUCUAUUUGGCGCUUGAAUUUCAACACGUUUUUAUAGACAAAAUGUUAAAUGUCUUUAGUUUAUUUCCUCCUUUUGCGCACACCUGCUUUUCUAUGUGUAUGCAUGUUGCUGUUCCUGAAUGGUUCCUGAUGCAGAAAGACUCUCCUUUCAUGAGUUAAAGGUAUUUAAAAGCACAAGUUUUGUGGCUUGUUGUGAAAAGAUUUUGGGUUCAUGGUAUUUUAAGAAUAUUUGUAAAUUUUGUUGAAACCAUAGACUAAGUAAAAUAUGGACAUGAUCAAUUUCAAUUUCAAUUUUUUUUAUUUCAAUGAGCUUUAUUGGCAUAAUUGUGACUACAAUAUUAUAAGUGUUUUAACACAAAAACAAUAACAACUACGGUAAAAAUAAUAAUAAUAAUAAUAAUAUUAAUAUUGUGAUAAUAAUGAAAAUAAUAUUGUAAAUAAUAAUAAAAUAAUAAAAGUAGUAAAAAUGUAAAUAAUAAUAAUGUAAAAAAUAAAUACAUAUAUUAACAAUGAUAAUAAUAAUAAUGAUAAUAAUGAUGAUAGUAAUAAUAAUAUUGUAAAAAUAAUACUAAAAAUAAUAAUUGUAGUAAUAAUGUAAAUAAUAAUAAUAAUGAUAAUGAUAAUAAUAAUAAUAAUAAUAAUAAUAAUAAUAAUAAUAAUAAUAAUAAUAAUAAUAAUAAUAAUAAUAAUAAUAAUAAUAAUAAUAAUAAUAAUAAUAAUAAUAAUAAUAAUAAUAAUAGCAAUAAUAAUAAUAAUAAUAAUAAUAAUAGCAAUAAUAGUAAUAAUGAUAAUGAUGAUAGUAGUAAUAACAAUAAUAAUAAUAAUAAUAAUACUAAUAAUGAAUAAAUAGUGUCAGUAUCAUCAUGUUUGCAGAUUAAAAUCUCUGGAGCAGCUGUUCAGGUUAUUUUGAGCAGUAAAAAUACUAAAUAACUCUAAAUUUAUAUAUACUAUAAACACUAAAUAGAAGUUUUGAAGGCUGGCGCUGAUGAUCGCCUCAUUGAUAACACAAUUUUAACCUUAACUACAAUCAACAAUCAUAGCACUGAUUAGUCUGACUCCAUCUGACAACAGCAACAUCCCAUCCACCUACAGCUUUAAGGCUUUAUGAUUAACUUUUAUACAUCAUAAUGAAAUUACAGAAUCUUGCUUACAUUGUGAUCACAUUAAGAAAACAUUAAAGUCAGGAGUGCUGAUAAACUAAGUCACCCAAAAAGGUUAAUAAGUGGAAAAAGAGAAAAAAAAAACCUGAGUGGGUAUAUUAUCUUGAGAGUGGCAAACCCCAUCCAAACCUAAUGACAAGGUAAAACUUGAUGGAACAUUAGACAAUAAAUGUGACAGCAAAGUGCAGUGAAACUAUCUGAGCUCAUUUCCUGUGGGCCCAACACCUCCUCCAUACCUACACCCACCUACACCCACCCCACCAACACACCACACAAAUUCAUAUGGUGGUCGUAUAUGUCACUCUUUCCGAUUCCGGCUCUGUUCACUCAAAUGAUGCCACUUGAGUAUCUGUCUUGUCUUUGUAAAGCUACAGUCCAUUUUUGGUCAUUUAAGAGUAAAGUUUGAAAGAAGCAGUUUCAGCUCCGUAUUUGUAGUUAAGAGUCUAAAUAAAAACUAAUUAAAAAAAAACUCUUUCUACUCCUCUGGUUAUCACACGUCUCUCAUGGUGAAAUAUUGCUGUGUUGUAAAUCCACCUCUGCUACAAACCACAGGUUUCAGUCUGAGUGAGCAAAAGGGUGAUUUUUUUGCAGCAGUAAGGUUUGUGUGGCUGUCUGUAUGUGUGAUACGUGAGGCGGUUUAUUUGCAUGUUUCCUGACUUCACAAAUUUAAAACAUAUGUCCAUGUUAAUGUGCACUGUUACGAGAGCAAAUCUUUACAUCACAUUAUGAUAGUUAUAAUAGAUUGUAUUUCUCAACACUAGAUCUAUACAUACUCCUCAAAUUCGUCAUCAGACAGAUAGCAAAAGACAGAAGAGAUAGACCAAACCAGACGUCCUUUAUCAUCGGGCUGUAUUUUCACCAGAUCUUAGCUCGUGGGCUGCUAUCCUCUUCAUGUAACUGUGUUUGUCAGUGGUUGUAAAUUGGAGCUUGACCUGUGCUGUUUUUGUUGUUUUCUGUCUCUCUUUCCGCAUAACCCUCUCUUUUUCUUUCUUUCCUGUCCAAACACAGUCGUAUCAGAUGACUGUUCAACAGGAGUCUGGUUCUGUUGGAGGUUUCUGCCUGUCUACAUUAAUGUUUGUCUGUUUUUAAAUUUUUUUUAUACCACUGUGACUGUGACUCUGCUCGGUGACACAUGGUGCAUGGUGACACAGGAUUGGAUUUAAUCUUGAAGUUAUGUCUCUGUGAAUAAUGAUUAAACAAAUUUUGAGUUUGCUACAUGUUAAUGAACAGAUGUGCAGACAUCUAUGAUAGUCAUGUAUUGAAAAGGAGCACCAAUCAGCAUCACUUGAGGAGUUCAGAGCAUGUGUAAAUAAGGGCUGUCACUGUAUACUAGUAUUUACGGUAACCGAUUUAGUAAAAAUCCAUCUGCAGUCAAACAAAACUAUUCGAGCACCAGUUGGUGAUUGUAUGUUAGUAGGUAUUUUGAGGCAGAUGCUAGGCCCAAACGACAACCUCCGGUCUUGAGAGAUGAAGCUGAUUCAGAAGUGCCAAAAACCGCAGUUCUCUGAGCGUCCACUUGAGGCUUGAGCACUGGAAACUAGUGGUGUGUCAUUCGCGAACAAUUCGUUCAAAAGAACCGAAUCUUUUACGUGUACGUACUGAACCGAAUCACUUCCUCAAGUGAUUCGUUCGUUUCUCACUUAAGUUGAGCUGUCAGCAGGAAAGAUGCAUUGCCAGGUGAGCACCCGGCGAACGAGAGAUCGCACGCACUGACGCCUGAAUCACUCGGUAAAGGAAUCACGCAUUAAACUACACUCUCUGGAAUCACUUUUGUGGGACAAAACUAACUUUUUUUCUUUUUUACUGCUAAAUUACCAACACAACAAAAAAGCAUGUAACAAGAACAGCAUAAAACCUGCAGCUUCCUAUCAUUGCAGCGGUUUGCGAGGGAACGGUGCAUGUUCAGUGUGAAUUCUUCUAAACCCUCAGUGGACGAUUCACUCAUUGAGCCCAAUUUACCGAGCAGACCUGAUAAAUAGCAUACCAUAGGACGGUACACUUAAAACAUCAUGACUUAUAAACAACUUCCUUUUUUACAAACCUGCUCGUUAAAGCAACACAGCCAAACAUGCUUGUCUCCCGGUCCCAGAAGCUACGAAUUGAACUGAAUCCUGAACCGUUCAGCUGUGUAUCAGUUCAGGAGGUCUGAGUCGCAGGCUGGUAUUAUUGGUGUAAAAACAAACAUGUUUACAGCCUGGUUCAAAUAAAAGGCUUUGGUCUGAAAACUCCCAUGAUAAGGGGAGUAAUGGCCAUGAAAACAUGAGGUGAAAAUCCUGUAUUAUUACAGCCCACAGUGUAAAUACAGCUCAUGAAACACAGCUUAGCCACUGAAGCCAAACAGAGAGGCUCACUGCGUGGGAUCUCGUAAACCAGUGAGGUUUAAGUGCGACCUGUAGCUGCUUCUGUCGGACCCUUCUGCGUUUAGGGGAUUUCCCUUAUUUCGGCCCCCUCUUGUCAUUUCUGAAACCAAGAGUAAAAUUCAGUUUAUUGAGGCUGAUAAAACCUCGAUGUCCCUCUGAAUCCUACAACUCAAACUUCUAAUGCACACUCAGUUAAAAAGAAAGUUUAAAUUGCCACUUCAGUCUGAAGAGUGACAGCUAUUACUUUAAGAUCCGGUCUAUUAAAUAAACUUCCGCUUCAUUACUUUCAUUACUCUUCAUUUCCUCGAGGGAACCUUCCCAUAGGAUCAAUAACGUCUAUCUAAUCUGAUCACAAAUUAAUUACUCGUCAGUCAGUUUUUCACGCUGACCUAGUUUUUCCACAGGAUACUCAAGUUAAAGAUGAUAUUGCUCAACUCGUGUUCAAUUAUUUCCCUUUGAAAGCCACAGGGACCAAAAUCAGGGGGAGGAGCUAAAACCCCUUAAUGCAUCUGCACCCUGCAAGC
This 6304-nucleotide long non-coding RNA is filed under the name Xyrichtys novacula (pearly razorfish). Lineage: Eukaryota; Metazoa; Chordata; Actinopteri; Labriformes; Labridae. The record is from RNAcentral.